UAAGUAAUCCCUCCGUCCGAAAUUACUUGUCGCACAAAUGUAUAAAAAUGGUUGUAUCUAGAACUAAAAUACAUCUAGAUACAUCUGUUUCUAUGACAAGUAUUUUUGGACGGACGGAGUAUAAU
This is a non-coding RNA of Hordeum vulgare subsp. vulgare (domesticated barley), 125 nucleotides long. Lineage: Eukaryota; Viridiplantae; Streptophyta; Magnoliopsida; Poales; Poaceae. The record is from Rfam.